Molecule: ribosomal RNA, 253 nt
Filed under: uncultured bacterium
Lineage: Bacteria
Description: partial 16S ribosomal RNA
Rfam family: Bacterial small subunit ribosomal RNA
Source: RNAcentral
UACAGAGGGUGCGAGCGUUAAUCGGAAUUACUGGGCGUAAAGCGCGCGUAGGCGGCUUUGCAAGUCGGAUGUGAAAUCCCCAGGCUUAACCUGGGAACUGCAUUCGAGACUGCAUUGCUAGAGUAUGGGAGAGGGAAGUGGAAUUUCCGGUGUAGCGGUGAAAUGCGUAGAUAUCGGAAGGAACAUCAGUGGCGAAAGCGACUUCCUGGACCAGUACCGACGUUCAGGCACGAAAGCGUGGGGAGCAAACAGG